AGAGUAUGUUUAGUUAUGGAUUUGGUUUUGGUUCUGUGUCUUGGUUUUAGCUACAGAAAACACAUGGUACUUUAUGGGUUCCGGUGAGUAGAAAAUAGUUGAAUUAAAGUAGAUUUUAAUAUUUUGUUUUAUUUUCUAUUUUUAGGCAUAAUUGUGUAUAUAUGACGCCUAUGUUUAUUCACUGUGUACACCAGUGUUGAAGGUUGAACAAUAAAUUGUGGUUUGAUUCAGUGAGUUGCUACUGAGGCCUGGUAAAGUUUGUGCCAGCAACUGCGGUUAGACAAACAGGCCAAGCUAAGAUUUGUGCAGCAUAAAGUAGGGUUAGGGGUACAAAAGUUUAGUGCUUGGGAGUUUAGGAUGACUUGAGGGGUGCAAUCCUAAGAGUUGUGGUUUUAUCUAAUAUUUCCUAGUUGCCUGAUGCCCUGAAACUCCAGCUAAAAACCGGGAUUUGGUAUCCCGUUAUUCGGAGUGUAAACUUUGGUCUGUAAUCUGCUGGGGUACUACGAGCGUUAGAUUUAUUUUGGCUAGGCUUAAAACUCAAAAAACUUGGCGGUGUUUCAUAUCCUCCCAGGGGAACCUGUCUCAUAAACGAUGAUCCACGUUUUAUCUUACCUCGCUUUGAAACGCUUAGUGUGAAGCGGGUCAGCUUGUAUACCGUCGCCGAUAGAUCACCCUUGAGGGGCUUAAAGUGGUCGGGAAGAGAAGCCAAAAGUUGUAGGUUGUUAUUUUAUUUACGAGUAAUUGUGGCUGAUACUUGUUAUGCUGUGGGGCCUAAGGGUUCUUCAGUCGUUAGCUUCUCAGGAUGCCAGAUCAAGGUGCAGCUUAUGGUGAGGUGAUGAUGGGUUACAAUAACUUAUUUGUUAUACGGAUUUUUCGCUGUAUUUGUUAUACGGAUUUUUCCCUGUAAUGUGGAAUUUAAAGGCGGACUUGGAUGUAAUGUUGAAUUAGGAAGUUAUAGUGAACUAGGUUUUGAGAUGUGUACAAAUCGCCCGUCGCUCUCGUUGAAAAAUGAGAUAAGUCGUAACAUAGUAGGGGUACCGGAAGGUGCCCCUGGAAUAAUGGUUAAU
Molecule: non-coding RNA, 1067 nt
Organism: Haliotis rubra (blacklip abalone)
Lineage: Eukaryota; Metazoa; Mollusca; Gastropoda; Lepetellida; Haliotidae
Source: the annotation of a RefSeq genome assembly